Molecule: ribosomal RNA, 602 nt
Filed under: uncultured bacterium
Lineage: Bacteria
Description: bacterial SSU rRNA
Rfam family: Bacterial small subunit ribosomal RNA
Source: RNAcentral
AACGAACGUUAGCGGCGCGCCUAACACAUGCAAGUCGAGCGAGAAGGGAGCAAUCCCAGUAAAGCGGCGCACGGGUGAGUAACACGUAGGUAAUCUACCUCUGGGCGGUGGAUAACCUUCCGAAAGGAGGGCUAAUACAGCAUGAGACCACUCUUUCGUAAGAGAGAGAGGUCAAAGCGGGUCACUAUACAUAAACUCGCGCCUGGAGAUGAGCCUGCGGCCCAUCAUGGUAGUUGGUAGGGUAACGGCCUACCAAGCCGAAGACGGGUAGCUGGUCUGAGAGGAUGAUCAGCCACACUGGAACUGAGACACGGUCCAGACUCCUACGGGAGGCAGCAGUGGGGAAUCUUGCGCAAUGGGCGAAAGCCUGACGCAGCGACGCCGCGUGAGUGAUGAAGGCCUUCGGGUUGUAAAGCUCUGUGGAGAGGGACGAAUAAGGGUUGGCUAAUAUCCAGCUCGAUGACGGUACCUUUUUAGCAAGCACCGGCUAACUCUGUGCCAGCAGCCGCGGUAAGACAGAGGGUGCAAACGUUGUUCGGAAUUAUUGGGCGUAAAGCGUCCGCAGGUGGUUAUUCAAGUCUGCCGUUAAAGAGUCUGGCUUA